CUACGGGAUGCAGCAGUGAGGAAUAUUGCACAAUGGGGGGAACCCUGAUGCAGCAACGCCGCGUGGAGGAUGACGCAUUUCGGUGUGUAAACUCCUUUUAUAUGUCAAGAAAAUGACGGUAGCAUAUGAAUAAGCACCGGCUAACUCCGUGCCAGCAGCCGCGGUAAUACGGAGGGUGCAAGCGUUACUCGGAAUCACUGGGCGUAAAGGACGCGUAGGCGGGUUGGAAAGUCAGGUGUGAAAUCCUACAGCUUAACUGUAGAACUGCACUUGAAACUUCUAAUCUAGAGUAUGGGAGGGGGAGAUGGAAUUAGUGGUGUAGGGGUAAAAUCCGUAGAUAUCACUAGGAAUACCUAAAGCGAAGGCGAUCUCCUGGAACAUUACUGACGCUAAGGCGUGAAAGCGUGGGGAGCAAACAGGAUUAGAUACCCCCGUAGUC
RNAcentral lists this ribosomal RNA (439 nucleotides) under uncultured bacterium. RNAcentral's name for it is "partial 16S ribosomal RNA". It matches the Rfam family "Bacterial small subunit ribosomal RNA", at positions 339 to 795 of the family's 1533-position model. The record is from RNAcentral.